Setaria italica (foxtail millet) is the source of this 3321-nucleotide RNA transcript. RefSeq lists it as uncharacterized. The record is from RefSeq and is a predicted model, not a curated record. The transcript is spliced from 15 exons. NCBI's taxonomy places the organism in Eukaryota, Viridiplantae, Streptophyta, Magnoliopsida, Poales, Poaceae.
UUGACACAAUACCUGCGCGUCUACUGUAACCUCUUCCCGAGCGGAUCAGCUCGACCUCUCCAGUCGCGUCAACGCCCCUCCGAGCGCGAGCAGCGGAGCUCGUCCUCUCCGGAUCCAGUCGGCAGUUGUAUCAACGCCCCGCCCCCCGGCGAUUCUGCUCCUAGCCAGCAGGAAUGCACAGUGGAGCUUCUACCUUUGAUGACUACAGGAAGCAGCUACAGAUUGUACUGCAGGAUCCUAGUGAAGAACCCGUGCCUCUGUCACUGGAUUAUUUGAAAGCCAUCACAGAUGGUUUUUCUUCUGAUCGACUAGUUGGCAGGGGUGGGUUUGGAGAGGUUUACAGGGGAGUUCUCGGGAGGGAGAAGUUUAUUGCUAUCAAGAAACUUUAUGCUGAACAUGUGGUUGAUGACAGCAAAUACAAAGCUGAGUUCAAUUCUCUAAUGAGGAUACGGCACCCAAAUAUAGUGCAACUUAUUGGUUACUGUGCCGAGACAAAGUUUGAAGCGAUGCCGCGAAACGGGGAACAUAUUCUUGCAGAAGUACGUCAACGUUUGCUCUGUUUCGAGUACAUAAGCAACGGAAGUCUUCGUGACUAUGUUCUAGAUCUGGAUCUUGGCUGGGAUAAGAGAUAUGCAAUAAUGGAAGGAAUUUGCAAAGGUUUAGAUUUCCUUCAUGAGGAAUGCAAUAUUACCCAUAUGGAUCUUAAACCUGAAAAUAUACUGCUGGAUGACGAUAUGGUUCCAAAAAUUACGGAUUUUGGUUUGUCGAGGCUCAGGGAUGUAGGAAAAUCUCAAAUUUUUACUCAUAACCUUACGGGAACACUUGGAUACAUGCCACCAGAAUACCUACUCGAGGGCAAAAUAUCUCAUAAGACAGAUAUAUACAGUUUGGGUGUUAUAAUGUGUGAGAUAAUCACAGGCGAAAAGGUGCCCAUUGGCGGGAGUAGUAACAGCUCCAUGAGUAUGGAAUUCACACGGAGAGCUUGCGGAAGAUGGAUGAAAAUAUUUGAGAAGUCACUGAAUGAUGCGUCACUAAAGGAAAUAUAUAUCAAACAAGUAAAACAGCUGCUCGACAUAGCCCUAAAAUGUGUGGACCAUGACAGGACGAAAAGGCCUGGUUCAUCGGAAAUACUUAAAGUUUUUUACCCUAAUCCAGCGGAAAGAAGCUCGUGUGAAUUAAACAGCAACUAUGGACAGGUCAUCGAACUCCUCAGUGUGCAUCCGCUGCAGCUUGAUUUCUCUUUGCCUGAGCCCAAAAAGUUACAUCACAGCUCAUGCUCGCUGCACCUAACCAACAACAUAGAUGCACCUGUGGUCUUCAGGCUCUUGCCAUCAGAGACUCUAUCAGCACAUUUCUUGCCGCAAUCUGGUGUGGUGCCGGCGAAGUGCCAGUACACACUCGCUGUCGUAAUGCUUCACCAGCAAAAUCCACGGUUCGGCAACGACGACUUUUUCACUCUCGAAAGCACCAAAGAGAGGUAUCAGGGCCUACGGAUCGUCGACCCAGGAGCAUUGAUUACGAAAGCCAGAGAAAGGGGUCUUAAGGUGCACGAGGUGAAAAUAGCUGCUGUCUGUGCACAUACUGAUCCGCCAAUAGGUCCUAAUUUAAAACCAGAGUUGGCCCGACCAGUUUCCUGGGACCGACAAGACGUAACGCCUGAACUCAUGAUAAUGCCCGUGGAAAGGUAUCCUCAUAGUUUUGGGGAGGAACCGGUAGCCAUAUGUGUGCAUCCAACAGAGCCAUGGAUCCUGAGGGCAUGCUUUUUGGAUGCAUUCGAGGUAUGGGACUACCAUAGGAUGGAAAAGAUGCACUUCUGUUUUGCCCAACCGCAAAAAGUCAACUGGAUUCCCAGUGAAGAGGCCGAUAUAUAUGGUGAUGCUGAUGGGCAACUAUACCUACCAACAGGGAUACCGAAGUUGGUUUCACGAAAGAGAUGGAUUUUGGUUGGGUCUAGCACUCAAUAUAGCAGACGAGAUGUUGGUUACAUAUAUGUGUACAGUUAUAUGGCAGUGAAAAAUUUCAAGGGAUCCAAAACAUAUAUAUUAUCAAAAAUAAAGAGUUUUAAGGCCCAUGAAAGAGGUAGUGUGUUAUUGGAAGUCCAUCCAUCUCGACCGUAUGUGCUGUCAUCAUUAGUUCCUGUUAAUGGAUCCAGUAGGAAUGUACCAAUGCACGUCAUUAAGCUGUGGGACUGGGAGAGUGGCUGGGAUUGUGUUCAGACAUUUAACAUGGAAGACUGUGCACGACAACUUAAAUUUAGCCCAAAGGACCAAGAUACUUUUGUUACAAUUUCCCAACAGAAAGAUGUAAAGGUAUGGGAUAUUGAUUCUCGAAAAUGUAAAUCUACAUUGCCCGUGACAGACGAGGUUUCGUGUUUUGAUUUCUUUACUCAAGGUGGAAAGCAAUACUUGAUCAUUGUUCAUCGCAAUGAAUUUAAGUCCACGAUAUGGGACUACGAUACAGGGACUCUUGUUGAAACUCUGAAAGAGAAGAAUAUAUCUACUGCUUGUUCCCAUCCUGAACUUCCGGUACUAAUUACAGGCUCCAAAGACGGAAGAGUCUCCCUAUGGAGCUCCAGUACGUUCAAUGGGAACAGUAUAUUUUAGCUAGUCUGCUGUGACAGUGUGUGAAUUCCUAGAUGGAAUUGUCAAUCACUUCUACAUAGAGACAUCAAUGUGGUGUUCGAUGUUCUUCGCUUACAUUCUUAUGAAGACAUUUUCAUUGCAAUUUGUGCUCCAUACUCUUUCAGUCUUGUGGGCGUACUGAACUGUUAUCUUGGAAAGGUAAUUACUGUAUCCGGCGUGAAGGGAACAGAAAGGAUUGUAAUAGAACAUGAACAUGGAAUUGCAGUUGUUGGAAUUGGCCAUAUGCUAGAAAGUGAAAGACCAGAUGGGUCAGAGGGAGAAGCGAGCUUGGGGAUAGAUAAAGAUACAUAAAGGAGGAGGCUAGCUGGUACUCCCUUCUUUUCAAACUGUAAAUCGUUUUGACUUUUCUAGAUAUAUAUAUUUUGCUAUGUAUCUGGAUAUAAUCUAUAUCUAGGUGCAUAGUAAAAAUAAUGUAUCUAGAAAAACUAAAACGAUCUCAAUUUAAAAUGAAGGGAGUGUUAGUUUUCUAUUUGUUAUAAUUGCAUAAUUCGGCGCAUCGAUCACCAAUACUCCGUUGUCUCACGUUGGUUGAUUAAGAUUUGAAUGAAACUAAAUAUUCUGUUGGUAAGUUGAGUACGCGUCAGAGGUGACAUAAUAAUAUAUGUAUGCUGUUAUUGAUGUUCUGGAACUCAGACGGUACUUAAUGAAGGGUUGUAAUCUCAUAUAUAGUUACGCAUCA